Molecule: long non-coding RNA, 2067 nt
Organism: Daphnia magna
Lineage: Eukaryota; Metazoa; Arthropoda; Branchiopoda; Diplostraca; Daphniidae
Exons: 3
Source: RefSeq, a predicted model, not a curated record
AGAAAAUUGCGGGAAGAGCCCGGAAGAACUUAACCUUCACCAAAGUCAAAGUCAUCUCCCGCGAGCGAAGGAGGAUCUUACCGCAAAAGAAAAGCGAAAACAAAGGAUAGCACGAUCGGCCAUCUACGUGAGCCAGAAAAAAAAAGUAGAUGAGUGAUAUUUCGGAAUUUCAAAAUGGCACGAAGCUUUGAAGAGUUUUAUUGUGGAAGUCUUUGAAGAUGCGCAUCGUGUCGUGAAUCUUCGACUACCUGUUGGCCGGAUAUAAUUUGAUGACACUUCUUUCCCGACAGCCCAAAAAGCCAGCCGUUUGCACAGUUAAUUUAUGAGUUUUAAUGUAUUCUUUUUUUGGGUGUUUCAUUUUAGCCUGAGGAUACUAUCAACAAUGCGAUGGUUUGUACCAUAAAUUUGUUAUACUUGACGGUUCAAGGAAAGUCAACUAUUUUUGGCGGAAGAAAAAUAAUGGUAUUUGCUUUUGGUAUACUGUAUUGUUCGGUUACAAGUAAUGCAUUACAGACUCGAGUACAUAUGAGACGCAUACAUAGUAGCUUCACGCAACAUAUACGAAGCCUUUAAUUGUCUAACUAUUAGAGGAAAUUGUCGAAGCCGGCCAACCGUGGAUAAUCAGUAAAUGGAGAAGAAAUUCUGGCCAGUGCAAGAACAGGUGCGUAUGAUGCCCAUUUGCAAAACUACGUAGCAGUCCAAAAGUAAUUAGCCCUGGUAAAAAUAAACGUAAUGGUAAAAGAAUAAUUUAGUAUUAAUAGAUUUUAAUUUAUAUUUUACCUUGUCCUGAUGCCUGCCGUUCAUCCUAGCGGCGUUACAUAGCGCAAAUUUCGAAAAGAUUAGAUGUAGCGGAUGUAAUACUGCAACCAGUAAAAGAGAAAACAAAUUAAAGGUAAGAGAAUUUAAUGAAAAAAUGUUCUUGUUUACCUGUUGGCAGCCCGUUCACCUGUAGUCACGAAGAGCUAGAACGAACUGCAAAAGCUCCAAGGAAUUCCAUUCGUUAAAUACCGAUGACACUAGCGUUGGGAACCAGGAUAAAAUUGCACGCUAGCAUGAUUAUCAUGGUUUACUAAUUUGGCAAGAUGUUUUGUGUUAAAAUUGAAUUUAAAAAAAAAACCACAUCGUCAUCUUCGUCGCCUUGAGGAUAACUAUCGGGGAACGCGGGAAAUGAUAAUUCUCACGAAUCUUUCGUCAGUCAUGCUAUAGCAUGGUAAUAAAAAGAAUCAAGGACUUUUCUAGAGCUUCCCAAGUUCAAGUUCUUGGCAACGAAUAACAACAGAAAUAAUAAAGUACGGCAAAAAAACCAAAAAACAAUAAUAAUGGCUCCAUACAAAAGAAGAAAAAAAAUGGGAAAAGAAAAUGUUCUUUGUGGGAAUGUAUUCAUUUUAUCGGCUUAGAGGGCACCUUGAAAGUCCUCUUGGCCGUUUCCUAUUUAUGGUGGUUAUUCAUCAAACCUUUCUCAUGGCGUUUGAAUAACAACGGAACGCUUUCCCUGUUACUUUUUCAGGGGACCAAAACAAAGAAACGGGUGCACGACUGCAUGAUAUGAGAGAACACUAACAAAUUUGCCCCACUUAUGAAUCCGUAGAUAAUUUCAAUCGUAGUUUUAAAAACUGAAUUUGAAAUGCUGUAUAGUUCUAAUUGACAAUUUCGCUUCCGGCAACGUAUUAACUUUUUUUUUAGCUUUAUUAAAAACGUCAGCUGGAGAUUGAAUGCCUGGAGUUAUAGCAUAUCCCUCACGGUGAAUUACUAAAAUAACGGUUGUAAAAAUAAAAUGAAAACAGGUUUUUCACUUUCACUUGAAUGCUAUAUUUAGUAUGCAUGUGCGCAAAAGUUUCUUAUUUUAGCAAUUCAGACGAAUGAAAUUUAACUAGCAAAUCUUAUUUGUAAUUGAAUCACAUUCGAGUAUAUUGAUUGGCGUGAGUUGUCAUUAGUUCAAACCAUUCGUCUCUGAGUAAAGCAAUGAGUAAUAAAGUGCAAUGAAAUUGUAAUCAGUUAAUUAUGUUUAUUAUGUCGAAAAUAGAACAAAAAAGUGUCUGAAAUAAAUUCUGCAUUUUAAAUUUUUAA